AUCCCCUACGGGGGGCAGCAGUGGGGAAUAUUGCACAAUGGGGGAAACCCUGAUGCAGCGACGCCGCGUGAGUGAAGAAGUAUUUCGGUAUGUAAAGCUCUAUCAGCAGGGAAGAAGAAAGACGGUACCUGUUUAGAAAGCUCCGGCUAACUACGUGCCAGCAGCCGCGGUAAUACGUAGGGAGCAAGCGUUGUCCGGAAUUACUGGGCGUAAAGGGCGCGUAGGUGGGCGCUUAAGUCAGGUGUGAAAACUCCGGGCUCAACCUGGAGACUGCACUUGAAACUGGGUGUCUUGAGGGCAGGAGG
Molecule: ribosomal RNA, 305 nt
Filed under: uncultured bacterium
Lineage: Bacteria
Description: bacterial SSU rRNA
Rfam family: Bacterial small subunit ribosomal RNA
Source: RNAcentral